This 2676-nucleotide long non-coding RNA is filed under the name Salvia miltiorrhiza (redroot sage). RNAcentral's name for it is "long non-coding RNA (SMIL_LNC005863)". Lineage: Eukaryota; Viridiplantae; Streptophyta; Magnoliopsida; Lamiales; Lamiaceae. The record is from RNAcentral.
UACACUUGUGAAACUAUUCUAUAAUACUAUUUGAAUUUAAAAAAAAACAAAACUAUUCUAUAAUAUUCAUCGAACAUAUUGACGCCCAAUUACACUCUGCCAUAAAUUCUGGGAGCAGAUAACAGUUGGGGACGAUUUGCAAUUUGCGGCGAUUUUGCAGAAUUUUCAUUGGUGGUAUGUAUCUCCUAUUUACGAUUUAACUAAAUGUUUGAGUGGUUCGUUUAAUUCUACAAUCACAAUGUGUUAGUAGUUUAACAAAGAUAGUGGUGAAGCUGAAUUCGUUUACGCUGAUUGUGGAGGAUGGGUAAAUGCCCCACUUGUCUAACCUCAACUUGAUUCGGUUGUGUUGUUGCGGUCUUGAAAUUUAGGCAGACAAACUAGGAUAUAAACUCAUCUAUUGAUCGACAUUGUGUCUGAAUUGCCACUGGUAGAGUAGUUGCCAAAAUGGCUUAGCUUCGACCAACUUUAUUGUUGGGUUAAACUCAUUUAUCUCAUCAAAGGAAAGAAGAUGAUCUCCCACAGUGCCUUUAGAUGCAUCAAGGAAACUAAAGCAAUAUGGAGCCUACUUUGUCUAGUAACUUUUGGUCUUGCUCUAGGACUAAGGAAAAUGGAUACAUAAACAAAAAUUACUUGUUUCCCCACAAGUGCAGCUAAUCAAAUGUUAUUAUUGUUUAGCUAGUGGGGCAGCUAAUCAAAUUGAGCUAUUAGAAAAGAAGUGGUAAUGGAUGAUAGUGAUGGUAGUGUGAUUGAGCAGAAGAGAAGUGGAGUUGUCAUCUGUUGUUAGUACUGUUCAGAAUCAGAAGAAAGUUGUCUGUCAUUACCAGAGCCUGACUCUUAGUGAAUUGAACACGAGAGAGACCUCAAAGAUGAGAGAAUUUGUAUUUUUUAUCGUCUGCACAUAAUGACAAAGGUCGACAUGAAUGCUACAUAUCAAGAAGUGAUUUGGUCGAUCUUCCUACAUACUAUUCAUGUUCUAGAGCACUAGUAAUGGAUGAUAAUGUUUAUAGAAGAAAAGGAUAUUGAUCUUGAGUUUGCUUCUAGAUUGCCAAGGAACAGAAUAUUGUGAAGGUGAUUUAUGUAGGAGUGUAUCAUGGGAAUGAAUUGAUUUUCAAUUUUGUUAAAUGCCAUUCCACUAGCUUGUAAAAGACCCUUGGCCUUGCAUAGAUUUCGUUUCAUAACAUUUCCUCGACAAUUAGUUGUGAAUGCAAAUGUCAACCAUUUAUGCUUCAAACUCAGAGCUCAGUUAAUGUGUAGCUGAAUUUGUAGUCUACUCUGCUACUCUGUAACUAGCUUGAUAUAACUUCACUACAAUCUGGAUUCUUUUGAGAGUUAAAUGCGGUCUAUCUAGUUUUCAUUUCUAUAGCUUUACUGCCUUGAACAAAUGUGUUGCGAUUCGCAGUUAUUUGAACAAUCAAUUGACGAUACUCGUGAAGAUUGUUUUGUGAUCUUGAUGUACUUGUAAGAUUCCAUAUCAUGACUGAGAGUCUCUGAGAUUUGGAAUUUGAAUAUACCAGUUGAUAUUUAGUAUCAGCAUUUUUACAGACUGCUAAAUGUUCCUGCUUACAAUCUUGCAAACUAGUUCUAUUUACUCAACAUGGUCAAGCUUAUCUCUUAUGCACAUUAGUAGAUGAUGUAAAAUAAUUUUACCACAUCUCCCUCGAGCUUUGCCUUUGCAGGUGAAGCAAAAAGGUAACUAAUGAGCCAACAGCUUCCCUCUUCACCUUCUUUACCAUGACACUUAAGCACCCACUAACUGUUAUAUCCGAAUAUUCUGGUUGAGGAUCUGCAUUGAUAUUAUUCUAAGAUUAUACAACGCAUACUUGAAGUAAAAAAAAANCACUAAAAACUUCUACCCAUGAAGAUGUCUAGGUGUAACCGGAAUGAAAGCAGAAAAUAUUAGCAGAUGAUAGUCGUGAGUCCCAACAGAAAAGUCUUGCAUUCUUAUGUAGAAUAAAAAUGUUGUGGUUUUGCUGUUUCCAUUUAUGCACUUGGUUUGCUGAUCUAAUCCACUUUGCUUACUGAUCAAAAUAACGCCAGUCGACAAGAUAAAUAUAGCAUACGGUAGUAACACUAGUUAUAUGAUUCCAAUGAGAUAAAUGAAGACAACGUUGGUCUCCAUUCGCCUCUGGUGGAAGUUACUUCUUCUCAAAGGAAAUAUUCAACAGAAAAAGAGUUGGCUCAAUAAUAUAUACUGCUGUGGUUAAAAUAGAAACCAUCUUUUUAGCUGGAUACAUUAUACUUAGCUCAUAUUUUCUUUGGAUGCAGCAAAUCUCUAUUCUCCGAUUGCAUCACAAGCCAAUGGAGAGAGAUGUGGUGGGCCAUGAUCAAGUUGAAUUAUUCCUGCUUUCUAGUCAUUCAACACUAAACAGAAUCUCCAUCUUUAGAUUCUCAUAUAAUGUUUUCUUGGCUGGUGGUGGUGUUUUUUUUACCUGCAGAAAUGCGUAAGACCACUUGAUUAAUGUCAUGGAGAGCUGCUUCUAAAUUUGCUCACUCAAGACAAGAGUUGGGGCUAGUGGAUAACCUACAUAAAAAGUAGUAAAUGAUACACCACUUUUUUUUUCAUUUCAUUUUUAUGUUAGUUAUGCAGAAUCUUGGCUUUACAUAUUUUAACACCUUUUUUUUAAAUCCUCAUGUUAAUUAUCUGUUAUUGCUGAAAUAAGCCUGCUUAGAAUGUAA